AGGGCAGUAGCUCAGUCGUAGUGCUCCUACUCCAUACGCGGGAAGACCCGGGUUCGAUUCCCGGCUGCUUUC
This 72-nucleotide transfer RNA is filed under the name Toxocara canis (dog roundworm). It matches the Rfam family "tRNA". Rfam says of the family: Transfer RNA (tRNA) molecules are approximately 80 nucleotides in length. The record is from Rfam by way of RNAcentral. Lineage: Eukaryota; Metazoa; Nematoda; Chromadorea; Rhabditida; Toxocaridae.